GACAGAGGGUGCAAACGUUGUUCGGAAUUACUGGGCGUAAAGCGUGCGCAGGCGGUUUUGUAAGUUUGUCGUGAAAGCCCCGGGCUCAACCUGGGAAUUGCGAUGAAGACUGCAAGGCUUGAAUCUGGCAGAGGGGGGUAGAAUUCCACGUGUAGCAGUGAAAUGCGUAGAGAUGAUGGAGGAGCACCGAUGGCGAAGGCAGCCCCUGGGUCAAGAUUGACGCUCAUGCACGAAAGCGUGGGGAGCAAACAGG
RNAcentral lists this ribosomal RNA (253 nucleotides) under uncultured bacterium. RNAcentral describes it as "partial 16S ribosomal RNA". It matches the Rfam family "Bacterial small subunit ribosomal RNA", at positions 524 to 776 of the family's 1533-position model. The record is from RNAcentral.